Non-coding RNA from Auriculariales sp. MPI-PUGE-AT-0066, 85 nucleotides. The record is from the annotation of a GenBank genome assembly. Lineage: Eukaryota; Fungi; Basidiomycota; Agaricomycetes; Auriculariales.
GCACCCAUAACUCAGUUGGUAGAGUGUUGUACUUAUGCGGGAAACUAAAUGCAAUUUGUCGCGGGUUCGAGUCCCGUUGGGUGCA